CUACCCACGUCUCUCUUUGAUCAAGAUUACUCGUGUCAACAUGCCUCGUGACAUUCCAAGGUGCGACUUCCGUCUCGAGUCAGAUUAACCCACGUGAGAUAUAGUCCUUAAUCUAUCUCCUUUUAUGUUUCAGCCCAUCUCUCCGAACCUUUAUAAGCUAGACUAAGGCUAGCUAGACUCACUUUAUCAUUUAUCCUUCUCGCUGACCGUCGAUUCUGGAUCAUAUUAUUACCUGGUGCCUCCCUCAGGUGUCUGCCUUUUAUGUGGAUCUGCCUAUUUGUUUGGAUCUACUAUCCAGUGUCAUUUGCUCACUUGACACUACUCAAUUGCCCGUUUGGCCUACCUGCCUAUUUGGCUUUACUACUUGGCGCUAGCGGCUCUACUUGCCUGCCUAUUUGACAGUCGGCUUGUCAACUUAUUAGGCACGACAUUCCUAUAGACUACGUGUCUGUGCGAGACGUCAUAGCUUCGCCAAAUAUCCGCAACUCACUGGACUUACACUGCUAACGACGCUGCCCACGGCAGAUCAGCUCUGCCCGCAGCACACUUGUGCCCAUGGUAGCAGGCCACCCGCUCUACUGUGCCCACUACAGAUAUCAGAACUUUGGAUUGAGACUCCACAAGAACUAUAUCACCGGCGACCUUCUACCCGCUAGAGCGCCACCUCCAGCUGCAAGACCUACAGCCAGGACGCAGUCAGCUGCAACCUCAGCAGGACAACCAGCUAAGUUCAGAGGACAAAAGUGACAUACUCUCUAGUUAAGUGUUUAGUAUGAUGAUACAAUAUUGCUAACGAGAUAGAUGCAAAUCCCCCCCCCAUUUUAUUCUAACUUGUUAAUUUAUGUAAAUAAAUAUUCUUUAAUUUUUCAACAUUUGUAUCUUUCUCCAUUUGUGACCUAAAGAGGAUUCAUGAACCAAUAUGAUCAGUUCACAUUACCUAUUAGCGGGUAUAGCUAAAAAUAUUUAAUUAGAAUUAUAGCUAGAUUUAGGUAUUUUAGGUCAACAGAUCAGUGUUAAAGGUGUGCUGGCACGUUCGUCCAGUGGCAUAUUGGUCCCUACUCGUAAUGCCUAGGUUAUAAAGUAUAACCUCUAGGUAUACAAAUAUAAACUAAUGUAUGCAACACAAGACUUAAAGUCGCAGGUAAACAUACAUACAAAGUUUAUUUAAGACUAAGACUAAGACUGCUUUAUUGAUCCUUACGGAAAUUUGUUGUGAUUACAAGGACUCGUUUCUCAUAUAAAGACAACACAACAGAAACAUACACAUAAAUACAACAGACAACAUGAAGAGUUCAUUCAGCGACUACACACAGGUAUCUUAGUUCAUGUUCCCUGAUCAAUGAGUGGCGGUGAUAGAGUCCGACCGAGUGAGGUACGAACGAGUUUUUGUACCGCUCCGUUCUUGUUUUGAUUGACAGCAGUCGCCCACUCCGCGACGACCUGGCGUAGUUCUGAUGGAGCGGGUGGCCGUUGUCUUCCAAGAUUUUUUCGAUUUUUCUUAGGCACGUUUGUUCAAAAAGUUCCUUUAAAUGUGGUAAUGUUGUGAGUGUAAUUUUUGAUGCUUUUUUAAUGAUGUUUUCUAGACGUUGCAACAGUUUAGAUGAGGCGUUGCCUUGCCAACAACUUAUUCCGUAUGUUAGCAGAUUUUGUACAGUUGCGCCGUAAAAUGUCUCAAGGAUCUUCUUGUUUAAUUUAAAACUGUUGAGUUUGUAUAGAAAAAAGAGUCGCUGGGCUGUUUUCUUUGUCAGAGUUCCAAGGUGGUCUUCCCAUGAAAGCUUGUUGUUGAUGAUAACGCCUAGAUAUUUAUAUGCCUUUACUUGUUCUAUAGAUGUAGUGUUUAUUUGCAGUUCACGUAUAGUUUGUUUUUUCUUUCUAAAAUCUAUUAUAAGUUCUUUAGUUUUUGUUACAUUCAGUUCUAGAAAGUUGUCGGUGCACCAGUUUGUAAACUCUUCUAUCGAGCUUCGAUACUGAGUUUCUUCUCCUGAAAUAAGACCGACUAUGGCAGUAUCAUCAGCGAAUUUAAUGAGUUUAACUGUCAUAGAUGCUUCUUAUGUCAUUAGUGUAAAGAGUGUAUAGUAUAGGAGAAAGCACACAACCUUGUGGAGCACCCGUACAUAGUACUCGAGUUGACGAUUUGGUGUUGUUGACUUUAACAUACUGGGGCCGUUGGGUUAAAAAGUUUAGAACCCAUGCUUGUAAGUAAGGGCUUACAUUUACGUUACUCAGUUUGUUUAUCAUUAGAUGUGGCUGUAUGGUAUUGAAAGCCGAGGAGAAAUCUACGAAGAGGACUCGUGCGUAGGUUUUGGGUAUAUCGAGAUGCUUAUAAAGAUGGUCCAAAAGCAAUAGAAUGGCAUCCUCAG
Long non-coding RNA from Biomphalaria glabrata, 2360 nucleotides. RefSeq lists it as uncharacterized. The transcript is spliced from 2 exons. Lineage: Eukaryota; Metazoa; Mollusca; Gastropoda; Planorbidae. The record is from RefSeq and is a predicted model, not a curated record.